This 341-nucleotide small nuclear RNA is filed under the name Salvator merianae (Argentine black and white tegu). RNAcentral's name for it is "7SK RNA (ENSSMRG00000007624.1)". The stretch from base 1 to 305 matches the Rfam family "7SK RNA". Rfam says of the family: 7SK was discovered as an abundant small nuclear RNA in the mid-70s but a possible function has only recently been suggested. Lineage: Eukaryota; Metazoa; Chordata; Lepidosauria; Squamata; Teiidae. The record is from RNAcentral.
AGAGGUGGGAGCAAUCUGGCUGCAACCUCUGUCACCCUGUGGAUCGUCAGGGUUGAUCUGGCUCAUCUGGCCAUCAAAGCUGGCAUUCCCUUCCUUCCUGACUGCUCCAUGUGAGUUACUCCUGAAGGUGUAGUCUUAAUGUAAGAGGACGACUGUCUCAGAUAGAAGGACAGGUCGAGGGUAUGCAAUUGCUGUGCUUCCUUGCCAGGACCUCCAAAAAUGCUCAACUAUUCUAAUGAAAGCAUGCUCUCAUCAUAUUCUUGGAACUUCACCAAGGUGAUGGAGGGGAGCAGGGCUCACACUGGAGCUUAUUUUCGGUUUGGAGAUAUCAAAGGCAAAGG